CCUACGGGUGGCUGCAGUGGGGAAUUUUGGACAAUGGGCGCAAGCCUGAUCCAGCAAUGCCGCGUGCAGGAUGAAGGCCUUCGGGUUGUAAACUGCUUUUGUACGGAACGAAACGGUGAGCUUUAAUACAGUUUGCUAAUGACGGUACCGUAAGAAUAAGCACCGGCUAACUACGUGCCAGCAGCCGCGGUAAUACGUAGGGUGCGAGCGUUAAUCGGAAUUGCUGGGGCGGUUGCGUAAGCAGGAGGUGAAAUCCCCGGGCUCAACCUGGGACCUGCAUUUGUGACUGUAUAGCUAGAGUACGGUAGAGGGGGAUGGAAUUCCGCGUGUAGCAGUGAAAUGCGUAGAUAUGCGGAGGAACACCGAUGGCGAAGGCAAUCCCCUGGACCUGUACUGACGCUCAUGCACGAAAGCGUGGGGAGCAAACAGGAUUAGAUACCCGUGUAGUC
This 449-nucleotide ribosomal RNA is filed under the name uncultured bacterium. RNAcentral describes it as "partial 16S ribosomal RNA". It matches the Rfam family "Bacterial small subunit ribosomal RNA", at positions 338 to 795 of the family's 1533-position model. The record is from RNAcentral.